AGUGAACGCUGGCGGUAGGCCUAACACAUGCCAGUCGAACGGCAGCACAGUAAGAGCUUGCUCUUACGGGUGGCGAGUGGCGGACGGGUGAGGAAUACAUCGGAAUCUACUUUUUCGUGGGGGAUAACGUAGGGAAACUUACGCUAAUACCGCAUACGACCUACGGGUGAAAGCAGGGGAUCUUCGGACCUUGCGCGAUUGAAUGAGCCGAUGUCGGAUUAGCUAGUUGGCGGGGUAAAGGCCCACCAAGGCGACGAUCCGUAGCUGGCCUGAGAGGAUGAUCAGCCACACUGGAACUGGGACACGGACCAGACUCCUACGGGAGGCAGCAGUGGGGAAUAUUGGACAAUGGGCGCAAGCCUGAUCCAGCCAUACCGCGUGGGUGAAGAAGGCCUUCGGGUUGUAAAGCCCUUUUGUUGGGAAAGAAAAGCAGCAGGUUAAUACCCCGCUGUUCUGACGGUACCCAAAGAAUAAGCACCGGCUAACUUCGUG
This 492-nucleotide ribosomal RNA is filed under the name uncultured bacterium. RNAcentral describes it as "partial 16S ribosomal RNA". It matches the Rfam family "Bacterial small subunit ribosomal RNA", at positions 29 to 507 of the family's 1533-position model. The record is from RNAcentral.